UACGUAGGUGGCGAGCGUUGUCCGGAAUUACUGGGUGUAAAGGGCGUGUAGGCGGGGAAGCAAGUCAGAUGUGAAAUCCCGGGGCACAACUCCGGAGUUUCAUCUGAAACUGUUUUUCUUGAGUGCUGGAGAGGAAAGCGGAAUUCCUAGUGUAGCGGUGAAAUGCGUAGAUAUUAGGAGGAACACCAGUGGCGAAGGCGGCUUUCUGGACAGUAACUGACGCUGAGGCGCGAAAGCGUGGGGAGCAAACAGGAUUAGAUACCCCGGUAGUCCCUGA
RNAcentral lists this ribosomal RNA (277 nucleotides) under uncultured prokaryote. RNAcentral describes it as "partial 16S ribosomal RNA". It matches the Rfam family "Bacterial small subunit ribosomal RNA", at positions 524 to 800 of the family's 1533-position model. The record is from RNAcentral.